RNAcentral lists this unclassified non-coding RNA (549 nucleotides) under Hevea brasiliensis (rubber tree). The record is from RNAcentral. Lineage: Eukaryota; Viridiplantae; Streptophyta; Magnoliopsida; Malpighiales; Euphorbiaceae.
ACUCCCACAUUGCCCCGGGAUAGCUGGGAACUCAGAUUGGAUGCAUCUAAUCUGAACCCCCUAGCUUCCCUAUUGAUUUUUCAUUUUUAGAAAAAUCCUCAAUCCGUCAACAGAAGUCAAUUGAUCUGAUGACGACGACCGCUGUGCUGCCGGAGUCGUUCAUGGGCGCCCGUGACGACAUCACUGAGCAGUUCAGCAUGAUCUGGGAGCAGAUCCGUGCCCCGGUCGUCGUCCCGCUGCUCCGCUUCGCUGUCGCGGUCUGUCUCACCAUGUCCUUAGCUCUCUUCAUUGAGAGGGUUUACAUGGCCAUAGUUAUAACGUACAUCAAGCUUUUUGGCCGGCGUCCCGAUAAGCGGUACAAGUGGGAGCCGAUACGCGAUGAUGUCGAGCUCGGAAACUCCAACUAUCCUAUGGUGCUCAUCCAGAUCCCAAUGUUCAACGAGAAAGAGGUUUAUCAGUUGUCGAUCGGGGCGGCAUGCGGGCUCUCCUGGCCGUCGGAUCGGAUCAUCAUCCAAGUGCUGGAUGAUUCAACGGAUCCAGUUAUUAAGG